CCCCGGGCUCAACCUGGGAACUGCGUUCUGAACUGGGUGANUAGAGUGUGUCAGAGGGAGGUAGAAUUCCACGUGUAGCAGUGAAAUGCGUAGAGAUGUGGAGGAAUUCCGAUGGCGAAGGCAGCCUCCUGGGAUAACACUGACGUUCAUGCCCGAAAGCGUGGGUAGCAAACAGGAUUAGAUACCCUGGUAGUCCACGCCCUAAACGAUGUCGUUUAGCUGUUGGGCAGCAUGACUGCUUAGUAGCGAAGCUAACGCGUGAAAUCGACCGCCUGGGGAGUACGGUCGCAAGAUUAAAACUCAAAGGAAUUGACGGGGACCCGCACAAGCGGUGGAUGAUGUGGAUUAAUUCGAUGCAACGCGAAGAACCUUACCUGGUCUUGACAUGUACGGAACCCUCCAGAGACGGAGGGGUGCCUUCGGGAGCCGUAACACAGGUGCUGCAUGGCUGUCGUCAGCUCGUGUCGUGAGAUGUUGGGUUAAGUCCCGCAACGAGCGCAACCCUUGUCAUUAGUUGCCAUCAUUAAGUUGGGCACUCUAAUGAGACUGCCGGUGACAAGCCGGAGGAAGGUGGGGAUGACGUCAAGUCCUCAUGGCCCUUAUGACCAGGGCUUCACACGUCAUACAAUGGUCGGUACAGAGGGUAGCCAAGCCGCGAGGUGGAGCCAAUCUCACAAAACCGAUCGUAGUCCGGAUUGCACUCUGCAACUCGAGUGCAUGAAGCCGGAAU
Molecule: ribosomal RNA, 730 nt
Filed under: uncultured bacterium
Lineage: Bacteria
Description: bacterial SSU rRNA
Rfam family: Bacterial small subunit ribosomal RNA
Source: RNAcentral